AUUGAACGCUGGCGGAAUGCUUUACACAUGCAAGUCGAACGGCAGCACGGGGGCAACCCUGGUGGCGAGUGGCGAACGGGUGAGUAAUACAUCGGAACGUGCCCAGUCGUGGGGGAUAACUACUCGAAAGCGUAGCUAAUACCGCAUACGAACUCUGGUUGAAAGCGGGGGAUCGCAAGACCUCGCGCGAUUGGAGCGGCCGAUGGCAGAUUAGGUAGUUGGUGAGGUAAAGGCUCACCAAGCCGACGAUCUGUAGCUGGUCUGAGAGGACGACCAGCCACACUGGAGCUGAAAACCGGCCCAGACUCCUACGGGAGGCAGCAGUGGGGAAUUUUGGGCAAUGGGCGCAAGCCUGAUCCAGCCAUUCCGCGUGCAGGAUGAAGGCCCUCGGGUUGUAAACUGCUUUUGUACGGAACGAAACGGUCCUGGUUAAUACCCGGGGCUAAUGACGGUACCGUAAGAAUAAGCACCGGCUAACUACGUG
RNAcentral lists this ribosomal RNA (484 nucleotides) under uncultured bacterium. Its description in RNAcentral is "partial 16S ribosomal RNA". It matches the Rfam family "Bacterial small subunit ribosomal RNA", at positions 30 to 507 of the family's 1533-position model. The record is from RNAcentral.